RNAcentral lists this ribosomal RNA (476 nucleotides) under uncultured bacterium. Its description in RNAcentral is "partial 16S ribosomal RNA". It matches the Rfam family "Bacterial small subunit ribosomal RNA", at positions 28 to 523 of the family's 1533-position model. The record is from RNAcentral.
GACGAACGCUGGCGGCGUGCUUAACACAUGCAAGUCGAACGGUAAGGCCUUCGGGUACACGAGUGGCGAACGGGUGAGUAACACGUGGGUGAUCUGCCCUGCACUUCGGGAUAAGCCUGGGAAACUGGGUCUAAUACCGGAUAGGACCAUGGACUUCACGGUUUGUGGUGGAAAGCUUUUGCGGUGUGGGAUGGGCCCGCGGCCUAUCAGCUUGUUGGUGGGGUAAUGGCCUACCAAGGCGACGACGGGUAGCCGGCCUGAGAGGGUGUCCGGCCACCCUGGGACUGAGGUACGGCCCAGACUCCUACGGGAGGCAGCAGUGGGGAAUAUUGCACAAUGGGCGCAAGCCUGAUGCAGCGCCGCCGCGUGGGGGAUGACGGCCUUCGGGUUGUAAACCUCUUUCAGUAGGGACGAAGCGCAAGUGACGGUACCUACAGAAGAAGCACCGGCCAACUACGUGCCAGCCGCCGCGGUAA